This 292-nucleotide ribosomal RNA is filed under the name uncultured bacterium. Its description in RNAcentral is "partial 16S ribosomal RNA". RNAcentral also lists the same sequence under 1 other name. The record is from RNAcentral.
GGACUACCGGGGUAUCUAAUCCUGUUUGCUCCCCACGCUUUCGCACCUGAGCGUCAGUCUUUGUCCAGGGGGCCGCCUUCGCCACCGGUAUUCCUCCAGAUCUCUACGCAUUUCACCGCUACACCUGGAAUUCUACCCCCCUCUACAAGACUCUAGCUGGACAGUUUUAAAUGCAAUUCCCAGGUUGAGCCCGGGGCUUUCACAUCUAACUUAUCCAACCGCCUGCGUGCGCUUUACGCCCAGUAAUUCCGAUUAACGCUUGCACCCUCCGUAUUACCGCGGCUGCUGGCAC